UGACAGGUUCCCAUUACAGUGUUGGUGGCUGGGUCUCAUGGCUCUAGCUUCCCUCGUGUAACCUAGUGCUAGGCACAAAAGAAAUAGGAGACUGCAUAGUUGGGGUUUUCAAUGUCUCCCACCAAGAUUUAUGAGGUGGAAAACUCCACCCACAGAUGAAGGGCUCCAAUAUGUUGCAGUCACAAAAAAAGACAUGUUUAAAAUGUCUGAAGUAUUUAUCAACAAGAAAAGAAUGUGCCUCCAUGUCAUUAAGGACUAAAACUUCUAAAAUUGAGACCUAGAAAGUAGACUACAAGCCAUCUAAUCCUGCCUCUUGUUUUACAGAUGAGAAAACAGGGAUGGGAGAGGGUUGAUAACCAACUCAGGUUCACAGCUGGACCAGAACUCAGGUUUCCUGUUGUGAGGCCGGUCGUCAUUGCAUAAUUGUUCCACCUUCCAAGACAACAGAAUCUCCUCGUUGUCAAACUAGAUACCUCUGCAUCUGGUCCUUUUGGCUGGAAACAAGAUCUGCAGCAGCUGUGGAAAGAUAGGUUACAGUGUCAGUAAAUGGCCUGGCUCCCUGAUUCCCAGCACCAAAUUCCCCAGGAAGAAACAGUUGGCCCAGGGUGUCCAUCCCUGUCCUAUGAGCGGUAGCCAGGGGGUCGCACCCCUCUACACAGCAUGCUGUUUCCCAGCGUUAACUACAGGAUGGCGAGGGCAGUUCCAGAAAAAGCUGAGAAACACUAAGACAGCACACUGAUUCCUGUACACGUACAUGAAUUAAUUUAACACUCACGUUAGCUCCAUUCAUUCAUUUGUUCAUUAAAUGUUUAUUGAAUGCG
This is a long non-coding RNA of Leopardus geoffroyi (Geoffroy's cat), 821 nucleotides long. RefSeq lists it as uncharacterized. The record is from RefSeq and is a predicted model, not a curated record. NCBI's taxonomy places the organism in Eukaryota, Metazoa, Chordata, Mammalia, Carnivora, Felidae. The transcript is spliced from 2 exons.